Molecule: small RNA, 145 nt
Filed under: Streptococcus ictaluri 707-05
Lineage: Bacteria; Bacillati; Bacillota; Bacilli; Lactobacillales; Streptococcaceae
Description: MarS sRNA
Rfam family: MarS sRNA
About the family: In MarS deletion strains expression of mga and several Mga-activated genes is reduced.
Source: Rfam by way of RNAcentral
AUGCGAUGAGUCGAUUAUGGUUUUUAAACAUAUUUGCGCUGGGGGAGAUCAUUAAGGCAGAAAGCCGAUUUUGAUAACUUGUGUGAACCUCGUUAUCACGUUCUAAUAGAAUGUCCCAUAGAGCUGAGAUUUCUCAGCUCUUUUU